CGCGGGAUGGAGCAGUGGUAGCUCGUUGGGCUCAUAACCCAAAGGUCGCAGGUUCGAGCCCUCCUCCCGCCACUA
RNAcentral lists this transfer RNA (75 nucleotides) under Muribaculum intestinale. RNAcentral describes it as "tRNA-Met". It matches the Rfam family "tRNA". From Rfam's summary of the family: Transfer RNA (tRNA) molecules are approximately 80 nucleotides in length. Lineage: Bacteria; Pseudomonadati; Bacteroidota; Bacteroidia; Bacteroidales; Muribaculaceae. The record is from RNAcentral.